GAAGAUUGGUGCGUAAAAACCCGCAAAACCAAAAACUGCACGUAUAAGAAAGAUGUGUUACCUAGGGAGACCGUGUAUCUCUAAAAACCUAUAGAUCUAUGAGAGAGAAUGAAGGAAGUCAACUAUCCUCCUCUCUAGUGAUGAUCUACAUUGCAGGGGCUAUGAAGAUGCUCCUCAAAUCAUUGUAUAAUCCUCCUUUCCACGCACACCACGCGAUCAAGAAGGGGCCAGCCCUUCUUGUUGUCCACAUG
RNAcentral lists this long non-coding RNA (251 nucleotides) under Musa acuminata (dwarf banana). Its description in RNAcentral is "long non-coding RNA (MACU_LNC005724)". Lineage: Eukaryota; Viridiplantae; Streptophyta; Magnoliopsida; Zingiberales; Musaceae. The record is from RNAcentral.